UGUGUACUCCCUCCGUUCCAAAAUACUUGACUUCCAUUUAUCCAAAAAUGGAUGUACCUAUAUACUAAAACAUGUCUAGAUACAUAUAUAUUUUGACAAAUAGAAGGCAUGUAUUGUGUAAUGGAGGGAGUAGAAU
This is a non-coding RNA of Triticum aestivum (bread wheat), 136 nucleotides long. Lineage: Eukaryota; Viridiplantae; Streptophyta; Magnoliopsida; Poales; Poaceae. The record is from Rfam.